This 399-nucleotide ribosomal RNA is filed under the name uncultured bacterium. RNAcentral describes it as "partial 16S ribosomal RNA". It matches the Rfam family "Bacterial small subunit ribosomal RNA", at positions 338 to 734 of the family's 1533-position model. The record is from RNAcentral.
CCUACGAGUGGCAGCAGUGAGGAAUAUUGGACAAUGGGCGCGAGUCUGAACCAGCCAUGUCGCGUGAAGGAUGAAUGCCCUAUGGGUUGUCAACUUCUUUUAUAAGGGCAUAAAACUAAGCAUGAGUGCCUUUUUGCAUGUACUUUAUGAAUAAGGAUAGGCUAACUCCGUGCCAGCAGAAGAGGUCAUACGGAGGAUCCGAGCGUUAACCGGAUUUAUUGGGCUUAAAGUGAGCGUAGAUGGGUUGUUAAGUCAGUUGUGAAAGUUUGGGGCUCAACCGUAAAAUUGAAAUCGAGACUGGCAGUCUUGAGUACAGUAGAGGUAGGUGGAAUUCGUGGUGUAGCGGUGAAAUGCGUAGAGAUCACGAAGAACUCCGAUGGCGAAGGCAGCUCACUAAAC